UUGAUAUUUAUGUAUUAAACAAGACUGUACGUUAAAACAGAGUUUUGGUCUUCUGGCAGGCGCGCACCAGCAGCGCCACCAUCAGUAGUAAAUACCGACGGCAUGGCGUGGCGAGUGAGGCGUACCCUUGCGGGCACGCCGUGGCCUGCCGAAGCAACGUGGAGGUAGACAGAGGGUGGGAGGUUGGGCUCGUGAGAACCCAGUCUCGGUAAUGAUCCUUCCGCAGGUUCACCUACGGAAA
RNAcentral lists this unclassified non-coding RNA (241 nucleotides) under uncultured fungus. RNAcentral's name for it is "sequence contains ITS1". The record is from RNAcentral. Lineage: Eukaryota; Fungi.